GGGUGGUAAUGCCGGAUGCUCCAGUUGAUCGCAUGGUCUUCUGGGAAAGCUUUCGCGGUAUGGGAUGGGGUCGCGUCCUAUCAGCUUGACGGCGGGGUAACGGCCCACCGUGGCUUCGACGGGUAGCCGGCCUGAGAGGGCGACCGGCCACAUUGGGACUGAGAUACGGCCCAGACUCCUACGGGAGGCAGCAGUGGGGAAUAUUGCACAAUGGGCGCAAGCCUGAUGCAGCGACGCCGCGUGAGGGAUGGAGGCCUUCGGGUUGUAAACCUCUUUUAUCGGGGAGCAAGCGAGAGUGAGUUUACCCGUUGAAUAAGCACCGGCUAACUACGUGCCAGCAGCCGCGGUAAUACGUAGGGUGCAAGCGUUAUCCGGAAUUAUUGGGCGUAAAGGGCUCGUAGGCGGUUCGUCGCGUCCGGUGUGAAAGUCCAUCGCUUAACGGUGGAUCCGCGCCGGGUACGGGCGGGCUUGAGUGCGGUAGGGGAGACUGGAAUUCCCGGUGUAACGGUGGAAUGUGUAGAUAUCGAAAAAGAACACCA
RNAcentral lists this ribosomal RNA (539 nucleotides) under Bifidobacterium longum subsp. suillum. RNAcentral describes it as "bacterial SSU rRNA". It matches the Rfam family "Bacterial small subunit ribosomal RNA", at positions 158 to 711 of the family's 1533-position model. The record is from RNAcentral. Lineage: Bacteria; Bacillati; Actinomycetota; Actinomycetes; Bifidobacteriales; Bifidobacteriaceae.